AGAGAUCCAGCCUCUAUCACAAACCACAAUUAGACCUCAAAACAAAGAAAAUUCAGGAAACCAUUCCCCACCACAACAACCAUCCAUUGCCGAGACCAGGUCCUACCACCACUUUCGAUUUCUCGUUGAACAAUCGCCCAUUCUCAGUUAAGCACACCAACGUUAGUCCAAGGAAAAAAUCAUAAUUAGAGACAAAAAAAUCAGAAACAUAAAACAAAAAGGAGACAAAAGAUAUAGAUGGGACCUUCUCUCUCUUCGAUUUUUGGUCCAAAACGUUUCAAAGAGAUUUGUGUCUCCAAGUUCAGUGAGGAGAAAGAUCCGAAGAAGAGAAAAAGCAUACCUUAAGCUGGCUACCAUCAGAACAACGAUGAAGGGUGGAGUCAUAAAAUAAACUUUCAGAUCUGUGGCAUUUGAGGAGCAUUUUCAAAAAAUCUAAGCUCAUUUUCGAGACGAGGAGGCCGAGAGGAAACGUUGGGAAAGUUUUGGGCUCAAAUUGACUCCGACCGUGGCGAUGUGCAGCGACCAAUGUCGGCAUAAAGACUAGAGCGGUGGCCGGGAAUCGUGUGGAUGGAGAGAAGCAGAGAAGCAUAGAAAUUGAAUUCCAAUAGAGAGAAAAACGAAAGAAGGCUGAAGGAAGAAAAAAAAAACUUGACGUUUAUAGUUUUAAUAAAACAACGACGUUUUGGGGUUUAAUGAACCUGAUCCUCCUAGACUUGCCAAGUGACUUGCGCUUCAACCCAUAAUCAACUCGAACUGUUUGUAAGUAUACUGGUAUUCACUUAGGAUUCAUUUGAAUAAAUCUUGUGCGACGAGAUUAAAAAUAUUAAUAAAAAUUAUUAUAAUUAUGAUUAUAAAAAAUUAUUAUAAUUUAAAAAAUUUUAUAAAAAAAUUUAUAUUAAAUAAAUUUUAUUAAAGUUGACAUUUAGAUUCGACUAGUGAGUUGAUGUCUAUGUUGCUUUAUUAUUAUUUUGUUAUCCUUUUAAAUUUCUUCAUUACAACAUGUUUUAAUUAUUUAUAAUUUAUAAUAUAAGACUAAUAAUUGGUUGACACAGUAAAAAAUAAUAUUUAAAAUUUUGAAUAUAGAUAAAAAUUAUCUAACGAAAUUAAAAAAAUCAAGAAUGAUUGAUGUUUUUUAGAAAUUUCUAAGCAAGAAGUUUUUCCUUAAAAUUUCUGAAAUGGUAGAAAUUUUAAGUAAAAAUUUUGAUAACAAGAAUAAUAAAAAUAAAAUAUCAUAUUGAGAAAUUUUUUUCAAAUGAUAGAAUAAAGUUUGGAAUUAAAAUCUUCCAUAAAUCCAAUGAUAAAAUUUUAAAAAAUCACAAUUGAAUAAUUUUUUUUAAUUUUUAAUUGAGAAGUUUUAUCAUAAAUAUUUUUUAAAAAGUAAAAAAUUUAGAUAAAAAUUUGAAAUAUAAAAAUAAUAUAUAAAAUCAAGAACAAAAAUAACAAGAAUGUAAUUCUUAAAAAUAAAUAAAAACUAGCCAAAUGAUGAAAUUUUAAAAAUUAAGAAUGAUUGAUUUUUUAAAAAUUUCCAAAUGAGAACUUUUAUUUUGCCAAAAUAGUGACAAGGUGAAAUAAAUUUUAAUAACAAUAAUUAACAGUUAUUUUCAAGCAUAAUUAAAUUGGAAUAAUAAGUUUUUGAUAAAAUAAAGUGAACCCAAUGAAACUCUAAAAGAUUAAAAAUGAUUGAUUUUUUAAAAAAUUUUAAAUGAGAAAUUUAUUUUCAAUUUUUGUCUGAAUGAUGGUAAAAUUAGAUAAAAUUUUAAUAAUAAUAUUUUUUUAAGCAUAGUAAAUAAUAGGGAUAGAAAUGUUAAAUUUUAGAAAUAAUAAAAAUAAAAUUUUGAAAUAAAAAAUAAAGUAAAUCCAAUGAUAAUUUAGAAAAAUCAAGAAUGAUUUAUUUUCUUAUAAAUUUCUAAGUGAAAAAAUAUUUUUAAAUAUUUUUAUAAUGGUGGAAAUUUUAAAUAAUUUUAAUAAAAUAAAUAAAAGAUGAUUAAUAAUAAAUUAAAAAAUAAAAUCCAUCAAUAAAAUCUCUUCAAAAGAACAAACAGACUUUUUGUACACUCUUAAGAUGAAAUUUUUUUUAAAAGUUCUACAAAAUGGUGAGGAAAACUUAAAAUUCUUUUUAUUAUGUAAAUGUUUAAAUAAAAAGAUCAAUUAAUCAAGAUUUUAAGAUAAUUUAAAAUUAAUUAAUACUAACUUAAAUAGAUUUUAUAAAAAUGUUGUAAUAUUUUUCACAUGAAAUAUAAUUUUUGCACUUAAUUUUAAAACGUAAACCAAAAACCUAUUUUUUGAAAGUCUUAAUCACGUUUAAAAUAAUCUUAAAAUGAUAAAUUCAUCAAAUAAUCAAUCAUAGAUAAAAAAUUUAAUGACUAUUCUUAAAAUUGUAUCUAUUGAUUAAAUUUUCAGAUUAAUACGUUAUUGACUAUUACAUAAAAAAAGGGUCAGUCAAAAUUUUGUCAUACAAAUGUCACCUAGAGAUUAACAAUCGAGAUAUUUAGGGGUGACAUAGCAAGAGGACAAGGACCAAUUUCAUUAUCACAGUCAAUCCACAGCCAGCUUCGCUAUUCAUGCAACCGCCCAAAUUAUUCAGCCUGAAAUCAAAGGAUAUUGUGUAAUUAGACACAUAGAUCCAGAGCCGUAAAAUUACAAGCAUGAACUGCUAAAUUCAACAAACUGAUGCGUCAACCAUCAUUAAUGCCAAAGUUGAUUGUUCACAGGCAAAUCACAUAUUCAAUCAUUGAAAGAUGUCGUGUUUUCAAAAUUUACUUGAUAAGUACAAUCCCGUAAUGUAUAAAAUUGACUCAACCAUCAUACAGUGCCCCGUAGAAAAAGGCUCAGCUUCCCAGUAAUAUAUUGACAAGCCCAUUGGGACAUGACAUGCCUCUUAAAUUUGGAUUACUGGUUUGUCAUCCCUAUACUCAUGGUGCUUGUAGGUCAGCUACAGCUCAAACUCGAUUGAGGUAGCACCUUUAGCCAGUGUCAGGCCUCCUAAAAGAAAGGCCAAUUGUCUGCAUAUUUUAUAGACUCCAAUAGCAAUUACUUGCAAAGGCUUCUUAGUCCACUAAUGUGGAUUACUAAAACUAUUUGCCCUUCCUUCGUCCAACUACGUUUUUUCAUUGCAAGACAUAAAACAGAAUUGCCAUGCAAUAAAAGGAGAAUAAUGGUCACUGAAAGAGUUUUUACCUAUCAGCAUCAAGAUGGCCAACUUGAAGAUAAUAGAAUGAUCUCUCCCGUAAACAAAAGCACUUGCCACAUUCCAAAUUGGAACUAUACAAAGAUAAGUUUAUGGUACUUAAAUGUUUACUGCCACAAAAAUAACAAUGGUUAGAAGCAACAGUAUGCCAAAGCAGAAAAUGAAGCAAUCAAAUAAACAACAAAGAGGACACCAACCUUUAGAGGGUAAAAAGCAACCUUGUUUCGAUCUCUACCAUUGUAAUUUUGCACCAAAUAUUACUUUACUAUAUUCUUUUAGCUCAUCUUGAUUAAUCCUAAGUAUAUACAAUGACAGGUACUACAGCAGUUGACCUGCACCAAUAUAAAUAACAAAGGUGAAACUCAAGGAAUACAAAAAACAAGUGAAAACAGAGAUAAAAACAAUGUUCUCUGAAUAUUUUUUUAUUAAAAAAGAAUCUUUAAAAAUAUAGAGGAAUCGAUAUGUACAAAGAAACCCACAUAAUCAAGACAUAAUCAUCUAAACAUAGAAAAAAAUAAAAGACCAGAAAUAUAAAUCCAACAAAUUAGGAAAUUUAUCCUAAUUUGAUACAUAAUUUGUUAACACUCCCUCUCAAGCUGAGAAUACAUAUUUUUCAUUCUCAGCUUGUCAACAAGAGUCUCAAAGCUUGGUUUACGUAGUCUUUUUAUUAGGAUAUCUACUACUUGUUGCUUUGUAGGAACAUAGGUUAUACAGAUCACUCCCAUAUCAAUCUUGUCUUUGAUAAAAUGCCUAUCAUCUUCCACAUGCUUUGUUCGUUCAUGAUGCACUGGAUUAUGAGCAAAACUUAUAGCAACCUUGUUAUCACAAUAUAGUUUCAUAGGGUAUUCAGCUGUUAUUUUCAAUUCUCCCAAAAGUCUCUUCAACCAAAUAAGUUUGCAAGUUCCUUAUGCAAGAGCUCUAAAUUUUGCUUCUGCACUACUUUGAGCAACAACAGACUGUUUCUUGCUCCUCUAUGUGGCAAGAUUAACCCAAACCUUUGUAAAAUAACCAGAGGAGGAUUUUUGGUCUUCAAUUGAUCCUGCCCAAUUUGCAUCUGUAAAUGCUUUCGCAUUUCUUUGUUCAUGCCAGGUGUGGCCUUCAAAUACUUUAAGAUUUGAUAUACAGCUUCAAGAUGCUCCUCAAUUGGAGAGUGCAUGUAUUGACUUACUACACUAAUUGUGAAGGCAAUAUCAGAUCUUGUAUGAGACAAGUAGAUCAGCUUUCCAACUAGUCAUUUAUAUCUCCACUUAUCUAUGGGAAUUCUUCCUUUCUUUUCAAGUUUCACAUUAAGCUCUAUAGGUGUAUCAACUGGUUUACAGCCAAGCAGACCAGUUUCCUUCAAGAGAUCAACCGUAUAUUUUUUUAGGGAACAAUAAUGUCAUUCUUGCUCCUUGCAACUUCCAUCCUUAAAAGUAUUUUAGUUGUUCAAGAUACUUAAGUUCAAAUUCUUUUCCAAUAGUCUUUUUUAACCUUUCUAUUUCUUCGGUGUCAUCACCUGUCAAUAUAAUAUCAUCAACAUAAACGAUCAAAAUAGUCUUUUUUUCAUGUUGUGAGUGUUUGGAAAAAAGAGUAUGAUCAGUUUGUCCUUGGCUAAAUCCAUGUCUCCUUACUGACUUUGCAAAACGAUCAAACCACAAAGAAACUUUUUCAGUUUACAUACCUUCCUGUCAUUAUUUACCCUUUUAAAGCUAGGAGGCAAUUCCAUAUAAACUUCAUCCAACUCCCCAUUCAAAAAGGCAUUCUUGACAUCCAUUUGGUGUAAUGGCCCGUAAAGAUUAGCAACUAGUGAAAGCAAUACCCUCGUAGUAUUCAAUUUAGCAAUUGGAGCAACAGUGUAGUCCACACCAAAAGUUUGAGUAAAUCCCUUUGCAAUUAUGCGGGCCUUGUGUCUUUUUAUUCCUCCAUUUGAAUUAUACUUAAUAGUAAACAUGCACUUACAUCCAACUAGUGUUUUUCCUCUAGGUAACUCCACAACAUCCUUUUCAAGGCUCUCAUCUCUUUAAGUACAGUAGCUUUCCAUUUUGAGAUUUUUAAAGCUUCAUGAAUAUUUUGUGGGAUUUUAAUACCUCAAUCUUUUCUAUCAUGGCACAAAAUGCAGUAGACAAAUGGUUGUAAGAUAAUUGGACAAAGGGUGUUAAGUGCAUGAUGUUACACCUUUCUUGAGUGCUAUAGGCAUGCCUAGAUCAUUAGGUAGAGUAUUCACUGGUGAUGGUGCGGCAAGCACAACAUUUUUUUAUUCAAAAUUUACUUUCGGAUCAGUAUUCACUAGUGAUGGUGUUGUAGGCUUAGCAUUUUCUGAUUUAGAAUUUACUUAUGGAUCAAAUUCUUGACAAUGCGGUUGGGGCACAAAAGUUUGUACUUCUUAAGGCUGUGGUUUACAUCAUGAAUAAACACGGAGUUCUGUUUUUUGUUGAGGACUAAACAUAGAUGAAUCUGCCCUUGUUUCUACCUUAGCUUCUGUUGGUGACACAAUAGGAAUAGUAGAUGUUAUAGGAAGUGGAAUGGAAAAAUCCCAAAGCCUAUCUUCACCUGGUAUCUUCCCCUGAAGAAUUGGUUUUGGGUAAAAAAGUUGACUUUCAAAGAAUGUGACAUUUAAUGAGAUAAAUAUUUGUUUCGUGGAUGGAUUAUAACAUUUAUACCCUUUUUGAGUAAAAAGUACCCAGUAAAGAUACAUUUUACAGCUCUAGGUUCUAGUUUCCCACGAGAUAGACUUUUAUUGUGAACAAAAAAUGUGCAACCAAAGACUUUUGGGGUAAAAAACUAAACCUAGUUUGUGGAUGUGAUUUAAGUAACAUGUUUAAUGGUGUUUUGAAAUUGAGAACUCUACUAAAAAAUCUAUUGAUCAAGUAUGAGGUUGUUAAAAUAGCAUCUCCCAAAAAAACUUAGAGGCAUUAUUUGUAAACAUGAUAGCACGAGCAACUACUAAUGAAUGACAAAUUUUAUAUUCUGCAACCCCAUAUUGUUGGGAGGUGUUAACACAAGAAUUUUAGUGAAAAAUCCCAUUUUCUUUUAAAUGAUCACCAAGAAUUGAAGAAUUCCCUCCCAUUGUUUGUGUGAAAAAUUUGGAUUUGAGCUUGAAAUUGUGUUUGAAUCAUUUUGUGAAAUUGCUGAAAAAGUACCUUAGCAUUAGACUUAAGUUUUAAUAAGUAAACCCAACAAGCUCGUGUGUGAUCAUCUAUAAAAGUUAUGAACCACCUAGUUCCAGUUAUGUUAUUUUUCUAUGAAGGUUCCCAAAUAUCACUAUGAACUAAAGAAAAAGGUUUAGCAAAUCUAUAUGGAUAACUAAGGUAAGGAGCAUGAGUGUGCUUGACAAGUUGACAAGUUUCACAAUGAAAGGAAUGGACAUCUUUAUUCUUAAAAAGGGUAGGUAAAAGAGUUUUUAAAUAUGGAAAACUAGGAUGUUCUAAUCUAUUGUGUCAUAACAUAAUUUUACUGUAAACAGAAACAGAAACAAAUUGACCACUUAAAGCCAAAACUUGUUUAUUUACUUGUUGAGGAUCCUCAAGAUAGUACAAGCCUUUAUGCUCCUUAGCAUUACCAAUUAUCAUCCCUGAAAGUAAAUCCUGAAACUCACAAUAUGAAGGAUAGAGCUUAGACACACAAUUCAAAUCCUUUGUCAAUUUACUGAUAGACACUAAAUUACAUGCUAAAUUAAGAACAUGCAAGACUGAAAAUAGUGUCAUAUUAGAAACUUUAAUGCUUGUUUUUUUAGCAACAGAGGAUAGUGAUCCAUCAACAAUAUGAAUUUUAAGGUUUCCAGGACAUGGAUUAUAUGUUGAAAACAAUUAAUGGCAUCCAACUGCAGCUAUAUUUGUUCUAUAUUUUUAAGAGAAAAAUAUUUCGUGUUGAUGUUUUAUGAAUUCUGAUUGUUGCAGGUUUCUAAGACAUUUGGUGAGGGAAAAGUUUCCUUCGAGGAAUACGUUUUCACUAUAAAGAAUACAGUUGGAAUUGGUCUCCUCAUGGAAGCUAUAGGUAUUGGCAAAGGAAAGCAAGAUCACACUGGCAAUGCCAUGGAAGAUCCAGUUAAAAGUCAAUCACUGUGCUUCUUUUCGUCCUGAUAUCCAGUUUUGGCAAAAGCAUGUUCUGCUUUACAUCAGCAGAUUUAUCAAGUUUCUAACAGCGAGAUUUCAGGUUGAGCAAAGCUAGAUCCAGCGAUCUUUUUUGGGAAGCUGUUGGCCUCGCCUUUAUACAGAAGGUUGGCACUCUGAACAGCCAAAGAUCAGGUUCUUUCAGUUCAAAUAUUCUCUGGUGUUUCUUAAUCUGGUGUUUAAGAAGUUUUCAAAAAACUAGUGAAGGUACCACUAUUUUUGAUUCUGUUAGUGAUGUUCAUUAAUAAAGUUCAACAACCAUUAGAGCUUGAAAUUGAAUAAGGCAGUAAAAACAAGAUAUAAGUGGGACCAACAAUAAAUACAAGAAAUCCUGAUUUUUAUGUCAAGUAUAAACGUAUUGUUACCUCAAGCCAACGAAAUUCUGGUUGCAAUCGAGAAUCUAAUGAAGUUUAACAAUUGUAGACACUAGUUUGGCCAAGGGGCUGAAACGGUCCAAGGUUCCGAGAGCUGAGAAGCUUACCCUCUUGAAGCUACUAGCUUCUCACCCCCUCUAAGCAUUUCCAGUGAUUCUGAGGAGGAUACAUCUGAUGACUCAGAAGAUGAAGCUGGAAGAAAAUAGUGCGCUUCACAUGCUUGCAGAAGCCAUGGCUUGACGAGGGAGAAUGUGGUGGACUUAUCAGAAUUGUGUAACAGUACUUCAAAUACUGGUAAUUCCCACACCUCUGCAUACCAGCAUUAUAUCAAGUGGAAAAUCAUGAAAGCCACCACACAAGUCUGCUUGCAUUGAUGGGGGCAAAAGGGUUGGUGAAGUAUAAUUUCGUCCAAAAUGUUCACUCUAGUGACUCAAAAUAUUUGGCUCCUGUUAGUAAAGAGCAGGGUUUAACUGAUUGCACCAAUGGAGAAUCAAGUUUUAGUGUUGAAAACAUUUCUGCUGCCAGGAUGUUAAAUGAAGACACUUCGCACUGUAGGUCUAACUCAUCUGAUGCUUGUGAAGAUAUGGUUUUUCAAAUGGGAUCCCAAGACUUGUCUCCUGCCAGUUCUUUGUCUAAAGUCCAUCGUGAUGAGGGAAAGGAAGGCAAUGUCACUGCCUGCAUAGACAAGAAUCUCCGAAAAUGACUCGGUUGCAUACAUUGAUAGACUUGAAUGUUCCUCAAGUUUCAAUGGAUUUUGAAACCAAUGGACCCUUCGUCACAGAGACGGUGAAAAACAGUGAGAAUUCAAGUGCACAUAUAUCAUUCUUUCAGUCCGAAAUUCCGCUGCAGCCUGAGCCAUUGAAGCUUCCCAAUAGAGGUGCAGAGGUCAAUCAGCAUCCUAUAAUGCACAAUCGGAGGCAAAGUACUAGGAAUCGACCAUUAACCACAAAAGCAUUAGAAGCUCUUGAAUGUGGGUUCUUCAGUCCCAAGAGGAAGAGAAAGGCUGCAGAGGCUCUGCAGAAUAACUCACAGAGAGUUCGUGGGAGACCUGUUGUUAGUUCCAUUUUUAGAAAUGGUGCAAGUAACCCCAACAUGGAGGAGAAUUAGGAUGGUUUCUGCAGUGUGAAGAAAUAGCCAGUCCAGUCUCUAAUCUGAAUCUGAUACAUGGAGAAAUGAGCGAGCUAAUUUCUUAGCUAUUCCUGGAAAAACCAUGUAUCCCACCAUGUCCUCCAAAGCAUUGUAUUUUGGGUGCUUUUGAUUUUUCUAGUCAAUAAUUGGGAGACCUAAUGUCUCCUUAGUCAUUCUAGGAAAACACAACACCCAUUCACCCAACUAGCUGCAGUUUUUUGAUCAAUGUAAGGUGAAAAAUAUGUAUCACACAUGUUCAUCUUACAUAAGUCAGACAAAAUCGAUGGUGCAACAACUGGUUAUAAUUUCAGAAAGGCGAGGCGGGGAAACAAUUCCUUCAACUGGAUUAACCUUUUCCAGCGUAGGAACAAUUGACAGCAGGUGGUUCUUACUGUCUUUUUCUAGAUAAUUGACUUCCAAACGGUAUUCCUUAUAGGGUUUGACUGCUGAAUGUUGCUAAUGCCAACCUUUGAUCUUGAUGAAGAUGAUCUUUUUUUUCCAGUUAAUUUAUCUUUGUAUAAACGUGUUGUCCUCAAAAAAUGGAUAAAGCAAAAAAAUUUUUUAUACCUCCCUAAGAUUUUCAAUUUAACAAAGUUGUCCUAUUGCGACCUUUUUUUUGUUUUUGUCAAUUUAAAAGAGUAUGAGACUCAAGAUCAAUAGCACUUGAAGUAUGUAUUAUUAUGUGAAGUAAAUUUGAUAAUUUUAAAUACAAUACAAUUAUACGAUACAAAUAUAAAUAUGUAUGAAAAUAAUAUAGUUUAAAAUUUUAAUAAAAAUCGUUUAUAGGUUUAGAAAAAAUAUAAAAAAAAUGUUUCAUAUUUAAUAUAUUGAUGCAAAUUAUCAUAUAAUAAUUUUUAUAUUUUACGUAUAUUUGAUACGAAAUAAAUAUUACAUAAAUAUAUAAAUUAUCAAAUCUAUAUGAAAAUGAAAUCUUCAUUAAAGUGAAAUGAAGCUUAACAAUGUGCAAGUCAAAUUGCACGUAGUCUUUGAUUGAUGCUAUAUUCAUUAGGAAUAGGUUGGUCGCAUUGCUUGGUUUGUUAUUCCCCAUUUCUUUCUUUUAGUUGUCUUAUUCGGAACAAGAGGAUGGCAUUACCAUUGCAGGAUAUCAUCUAUGAGUUUUGCUCUGGAGGCAACUUAUUCACAGGCAAAAAAUAAGCACUUGAAGCCAGUAAAAACACAGGGAAAGCAAACGUUCAAUCAAUCAUACUCACAGUGCCAAAAUUUUCUUCACUUGCAUGUUACCCACCAAAGAAAAAGGGAACAAAAGGAAAAUAAAACCAUGUAAAAGCAAUCUUUCUUGGGAAAUUUCCUCCUAAAUCUAUUACAAAUUUUCCCCUGGGAAAAGCACGUGCAUUCUAUAGCUAGUUUGCAACAUGCAUGAUACCUAAAAAUUAUUGAAAUUAAUUUUGUUAAGUUUUAAAUAAGAAAGUGUGAAUUAAAGUGAGUAAUUAGAGAAAAUCCAAGAACACAAAAUUUACGUCUACCCAAUAUCGAGUUAUCAAAUGGUUGCAGAUCAUUGCUGCAUACACAUUAAUUCCAAACGGGUGAAAAGAAGCCAUGUUUUCCAGGAGGGAAACCACUACUUGAAUUAUACAACUGGUGAAAUUUCAUUUGUUGAAAUUUUUGUCAUAGAUGGACCAAGGGACCCACUUCAAUAAGCCCGGUGGUGAUGAUGAAUUUGGAUUCCAAAAGAUUUUCUUCCUCCUUCCAUUUAAUCUCCAUCAGUGCUACAGUGAUUGGCAGAGUUGAUCCUAUAAUUCAAGUUUUUUUAAAAAAUCCCCAAUGGGUAAGAAUUUGAAGCAAAAUACGUUUGGUAAUUAGCAUGAAGGAAAAAAGAAAAGUAAAGAAUUUAAAGCUUAAUCUAAUUAAUUUAUAUAAUAAUUUUUUUUCAAUCUCCAUACUGCUGUUUUCUUUAUAUAAAAAAAGUAAGCAAUUAAAUGUGAAGUAAUAUUUAUUUUAUAAACUUCAGCAUUUGCCUAAUUAAAAUUGUAUCUAAGUGAUUCCUUUAUGACUUCCAAAUUUUUUUCAAAGAAAUUAUGUGCUUAAGGAAAAAAAUUUGAGUAAAAAGUGACCAAUCUUUUUUUUAUUAUUAUUAUUUAUAAAUUUCAGUCUGGGACCAUUAUGAAAACUACGUUCUUACCCCUUUAACCACACAAAAUGAAACAAAUUCUUUCAAAUCCAUCCAAUUUGCAAUAGUAUUGAACAUUGACCAUUACCAGACAUAUAAUAGACAAGAUUCACACUUGAUGCACCACUAAAAUGUUUUUUUAAAAAAAAAAAAACACGUCCGUUUCAACAACCAAUAGAAAAUUCAUUAGUUUUUCCUUUUUUAGGUCGAUCAAACAUCAUUUUCAUGAGAGAAAAUACUUCAAAAGGAACACUCAGGGUAAAGAAUACCAGACCAUGGCAGUCUUUUCUGUUUCUUUUAUCCAUGGGGUUACUUAGCUUAUGUCAAUUACCAACCUCGUUCCUUCUAAAUUAUUCAGCAUUUCUGACAGUCCAUCAUCUGAAAGGUGCUUCGGGUCGUCUUUUAUAUUCGAUUUUGCCAUAAAAUAAUCAAGAAAUCAUGCCAGUGUUACAUUUCUGUCUUCACAUUGUUGUUUGAUGUUUGCUUCGUAAAUUAUAUCUAUCCGUCAUCGAUGAUAACUAAGCAAUUCUAUUUGUCUUGGUCUUGACUAGUAGUUUGUGAUAAGAGCAAAAAUGGCUGCCAAAUUGCCGGUUCACCGCAUAUGUCUGCAACAGCAUCGCUACAGAAAGCAUUCCAAAUAUGUGCAGCUGCAAGUAAUAGUAUAAAUUCUCCCAUGAUGCACAAAAGCUUUGCUGGUACCAUGGCAGGUCCUGAACAGUCCAUUAGACCACCAUCUUUUGGAGGAAUUCAGUAGCGGAACACAUCUUACGGUCAUGCUUUCCAUCACAUUAUGAUCAGUCAAGCAUGGUUGGGAUCAGCGGGGGAGGAUUCUCCAACCCGCUCAUGCCAAAAAGCCCCAAUGAAAUGGCCCGACUUUUUAGUUCUGCCACAGGAAGCUCAGCAAUGAAUGAUAUGGCAAUUUUCACUAACAUGUUGAUUAACGGAGCUGACCAAAACCACUGCUUAAUGAAAGCCAUGGAACAUGAAGGUAAUGGUAACUCUAAUUUGUUAAAGGGAAGAACUCAGGCGAUAGAAAGGAACCAUCAAUAUUUGGAUCAAGCAGUGGAGGAAGUAACAUGACGACCCUUGAUUUUAUGGGGAUUGGAGGAUCAAGGUCAGCCAAUUUGCGUGAACAGUAGCACCAGCGGCAAAGAUUGGAAAUGGAAGCAAUAAGCCAAAAAAGAUUGCCAAUGAUAAACCCUUUCCAGCAACAGCGCUCACAGGGGGAUUCAGCUCUUGGAAAGGCCAUCUGGGGAUGUCUGAGAGCAACAGGUUUUUUUGUUACUUUUUGCUGUCAGCUGUCCCUGGAAGAUUUUCUUGCUCUUGAAUGGUGACAAUACUGAGAUGGCCACUUCGGCAUUGGAUAGAAAAUGGGUUUCACAGGGUCCACACUUACAGACCCAUCUAUCUAUCAUGAAACAAUGGGCAUUGAAUUUUUAAAUUCAUAAAUGACACAGUGCCCAAUGGGAGAGCCGUGUGUGGUCACGAUUCACGAAAUAACGUGGUCUCCACUCCUUCAGGACGUUUUUCUUCGAAGUAUCAGACAAAUAUGAAACUCCUUUUGUUUUGUAACCAAGAAGCCACCGCCAAUUUGGAUUGAGAAAAAGAAAGGCUGAUAAAAACUCACUUGACUGACUUGAGUAAGUUAUGUAAUCCUAAAAUGCAGAAAUAUGUUUAGAAGGGAAAGUGUUUUCCAUAAUGCCCCAUCGUCCUUAGUUCUUAUUUUUAUCUUUGUCUAGUCAAAAGGAAUACGAAAUAUUUCAUCCUAUCUAAUUUCUGCUUUUACCCCCCAAAGUAAAGAUCAAUCAUUUCCUUACUUUUGUUCCACAGGCUGGGAUUAAUUGCUAUUUUUUUUCUUUUCCAUUUUUCAAGUCAAUUUUUUAUGAAAUUAAUUUCAUUCAAAAUAGGUUACAUCUAACUAGGAAUCUUACGAUAGCUCACUCCCAUACAGUCAAACAACUACCUUAUUGUCGUUGAACUAGAAUUCUUAACCUCUUUCUCUUCCCAGUAAAAUACUCAUUUUCUUUACUUAAGCUUCUACCAUAAAAUUAGAGUUAACAAUCUUGUAAAAAUAUUGAAUUUCAUAUUCUUAUGAAAAAAAUAAAUAUAAUUAAAUUUUAAAAAAUAAAUUUAUAUUUAAUAAUUCAAUUACACAACAUGGAUAAAAUGUACCAAAAGUACCCAAAAAAAAAAGAGUGAAUAAAACUAUCAAUGUAUGGUUUCUCGUCAAAAUGAAGUGAAGCCUGAGGCCGAGCCCAUAAUUUCAAAACGGAAUCCUUUAAAGCCCAAAUAAAGCAAUGGCGAAAAGCCCAAACCAGUUAGAUAUCAACCGAGUCUAGUAAACACGAGUAGACUCGUAAUAAGGUCGGGCGCGCCCCUUCUCUCCUCUCAAUAGCGGGUGAAAAAUCCUAACCCUAGCCCUACUUUAGAUUUUUCUGUUUAUACGCGACAGCGAAGGCCAACACCGCAGCUGAAGCCAAUGCUAUGAAUUCGCUUCUUUUUUGCUUUUUUGUAGAUCCUUUAAUGCAUCUCAAUCUCUCCUCUUCCUCUCAGAGGCAUACCAAUUUUGGCAUUGAUAAGUUUUUAAAGCUUUGAUUUUGGUUUUUUUUGUUUUUGAAUGAUAAACGAGUGAAGGCGGUGAUGUUGAAAACUACCUAUUUUACGAAGGGUUUUUACGGCUUUUGUGAUUAGAGAAUCAGCAAUGGAUACUUCUGAGCCUUCUUAUCUUAUUUUGUUCAGUCUUAAUUUUUUGAAAUUUUUUUUUAAAAUUAUUGAUAGGUUAAUUUCGUGAAGUCGGAUUCAGAGUGAUUGAAAUGAUGAUAUCUUAUUCUCUGAAAAAUAUAAUGUGGAUUAAAAAAAUCAUACUAAAAUUAUCUGAUCAUUUGGCUCUCUAUUCCUCGUGUCUCUUUAUUUGCCUGUCUAUUUGCUUUUCUCUUUUCUUUAACAUUUUAGUAAUUCUUCUUGGAUUUUUUUUUACUGAAUUUUCUCACAAUAUUUUGCUUUUAGAAGGCAAAGUUUUAUAAUUCAGACUUCAUAAACAAUCAAACACUGAGAAAUUUUCAUCUCAUUUGCAUAAAGUACAACAACCAACCAAACAAGAGAGAUUUUCGCAGAAAAAGGUUGUAAACGAUGUUAUGGAAAUUUCAGUAAUUUUGCUUUUACAGAUACAAUGGCAUAAUCAAGAAAUUAAAAUUUUUUUUACAUAACUAAAAAUUUUGGCAUAACGAAUAACUUUUAUAUAAUGAAAUAUUUAUCGACAUAUUUAAAUUUUAAAAUUUUUAUUUAAAUUAUAAAUUUAUUAAUUAAUAUGAUAUUUUAAUGAUUAUUUAUUUGUUAAGUGUCACUCUUUGAAGUUAAAUGGAUGAGUCAAAUUAUGAUAAUGGCUCAAGUAUUCUAACGAAAUCUGAAAAUUAAUCUCUUUAUUAUAAUUAAUAAAAAUAUAAGUUUUGUAUUAUUUUUAUUUAAUAAUUUUAGUCAAUCAUUAAUUUAAUCAAAAUUUUAUUUUAUCGAUGCAAUAAUAUAGAUAAAUGAAAUCAAUUGUUAAGUUGUUUAAAUAGUUUAUAUGUUCACACGAAAUUUAAAAUUUAAUUUUUUUCAUAUACUUCAUAAAAAUUCUAUCUUCAUACAAAUUAAAUUUGAUAAUAUCAAUUCAAUUAUUAAUAUGAUCAAAAUCUAAAUUUUGGUUCCUCUUUUUAAUUUUAUUGCCUAACAAUUUUUAUUUUAGAAAAAAUUUAAAUUAAAAAGUCUUUAAAAUUUUUUUAAAAAUUUAAAAAAUUAAAAAUGAUAAAAUAGUAAAAAAAUAUAAAAAUUUUAGGUCUUUUCAAAUUUUUUGAAAACAUUAAAUUAAAUAUUUUCUAAUUUUUUAUUUUUAAAAAUAAUAUUUCUUGAAUUUUUUUGAAAAAUAAGGUUUAAUUUUAAAAAAGUUCAAAUUUAUGGAUUAUUUAGAAUUUUUUUUCAUUUUUAAAAAUAUUAAAUUUAAAUAACAUUAAAUUCAAAUAAUAUUUCUUUUAUUUUUUUAAAUUUCAAAUUUCAAGUUUUAAAAAUAUUUUUAAUUUUUAGAACUUAUUAAUUUUUUUACAAUAUUAAAUUUAAUUUUUUCCAAUAUUUUAAUUUUCAAAUAUUAAAUUUAAUAUUUAAAAAAAUAUAAAUUUUCCUAAAAAUUACAAAAUUUUAAAUUUUUUUAAAAAAAUUCUAAUUUUAUUAAAGAAAUUCAAAAUUAUUAAUUUUUUAAAAAAUAAAUACUUAAAAAUAUUUAAAAUUUUCUAAAAAUUGAAAAUUAUUUUUUUAAAAUGAAAUAUGUUUUUCCAUAAAAAUUUAAGAAAUAUUAUUUUUAAAAAAAGUAAAAUAUUAAAAAAUAAAAUUAAUUUUUAAAAAAAUAUAUAAAUAAUUGAAAAUUAAUUAUUUUAAAUUUGAAAUUCGGUUGUCAAAAAUUUUCAGGAAAUAUAUUUUUUCAAAAAAUUUAAAUGUUUUUUUUAAAAAGCUUAAAAAUCAAUUUUCUUAAUUUUUAGAGUUUUUAAAAUUUUUUACAUUUUUUAAAAAAUUUUGAAGAUGUUUUUUAAUUUUAGAUUUUUUUUUAAAAAUAACGAUCACGUCAAUAAAAUUAAUGAAAAGUAAUAUAUUAGUAAUUAGAGUGAUAUUAUAAAAUUUAAUUUGUAUAAGAAUAAAAUUUUUAUGAAUUAUAUUAAAAUGAUUAAAUUUUAAAUUUAAUAUAAAUAUUAAAAUUAUUUACAUAAUUCAAUAAUUAAUUUUAUUAUGCCACGAAUUUGUUUUAAUAAUGAAAAAAAUUUGUUUGUCAUAAAAAAAAGUUAAAAAAAUAUAAUAAUUUAAAGUCAAAGUUUUAAAAUAAUUCUAAAAAAAAGAAUAAUAGAUAAUGUUUAAAACAAUUUCAAAAAAAUAAAGGAUAAUAGAUAAUGUCCGAGUUACAGCAUAACAACUGGUGUGGACCCCUGACAGUCUAAUGACAUAAUUGAGAUAAAAUUUAAGAGCCCUUUGACUUGUUCAAUAUUUGGUACACCAGAUUAGUUUGUUCACUGUAUAUAAAUGUAAGAGGGUCAGCUGACCGCAGACUACAGCUGAAAAAAGUUUAUUCAUUUCCAAACAAGGACAGUAGAUUGUCAAUACAACAAAUAAAAAGAAUUAUACUUUUGCUUCUUGGAGUGCAUAUGAUAAUAAUACCAAAUCAAAUGUUUUUGGUUUUGGGUUGAAUUUUUAUCAACUUUAAGUAGAAAAUACGAAAAGUUUUUUUUUUUUCAUGGGAUAUGAAACAUAUAAAUAUUUCUUUCAUUUUUUUUAAUUCAAGUUCACAAGUACAAUAUAUCUAUAUAUUGAUUGAAACUUGUAUCAUUAAAAGUAUAUUUAUAAAAAUGAAUAAUUAUUAAAUAAACAUAAAACAUUGAUAGAAACUGUUUUAAUGCAAUUCAAGUUACCUUUCUAACAAUUAUCAGCUUUGGAUUUAAUACUGUCAGACUGCCAGGUGGAAGUCUGGGAACACCGAUAACAAAUUGGCAAAAGGCUCGCUGCUACUCUGGUGUAAAUUCCCCCAUAAUUUCAAGUAACUAUAAAAUCAUAAAACCAACAUAAUUAUGGAUCAAAUAUAGAUUUUAAAAUACCCAAAUGAGAGUCUUAUGAAAGAAACAUACAUUUAAGAUUUCAGAGGUCUUUGCAGUAUAUCCAUGAUCUAACUUUAUAUGAUCGGAUAGUGUCUCAGCUUGCAUUAUUAGAAGUUAUAUUGUUAAAAUCAAAGUGGAUAACCAGUUCUAAUCAAAGAAGUUAGCAAUAUUAUCACACAAUCCACCUCCCACAACUAUUUGCAACCACACAUCAAAUAGUCCAACUCUCGGGGGGUAAAUAUUUGUAAUGAUGCGAUAUCAAAAACCUACUUGCCAUAUAACAAAUUUAUUAACAUUGCAAUGAAUCCUAAAAUAGCUCCUUAAUUCAAGUAAGUAAAAAGAAAUCAACGAUGAACAUCAAACUUGUGAUCAGUCAAAGAAAAAUCAUAAUAAAGAAAAGCAACUUGGCCUGAUUGAAUCCAGCCUAAAUGCCUCUUAUUUUGCAACAUAAUUCCAGCCUCGACAGUUACAUCAACCACAAGGAUAUUAUUCUUCUAAGUUAUUGAUAUCAACCUGAUGUAGUUUGAACAAAAUGUUAGAAUAAUCUAUUGACAAAAAAAGAGGUGAGGAAAAAAUGAGAAGUUGAAAGUAAAAUUUCAUCCCCCAGCUUCAAUAUGUAGGUAGGAUUAACUGAGUGUAAAAAUAAAAUAGAAUUAUAUGAUCCCAUUGAAGCAUUAAGCUAUCCGCAAUCUAUAUUUGUACCACUCCAUUGUUCUCUCAACUCAAUGCAAAAUAUUUGGAAAAUAAAAACCAAAAAAAUCAGUUAACAAAAUUGAAUAUUAAAAAGAAAACAUAUAUUUUUAAUUACCAUCCUAUAAGAAGAUUGAGAUAACUCAGAAAUAACUCAUACAUCUACAACAUGCAAGAAACUUAAUUGCCUUAAUCAGAUUAUAAAAUUUAGUACUGACCACUUGAAAUUCAUAAACUUCUUUAGCUCUACUCUUCUCCAUCCCUAGCAUCUCUUUCUUCAGCAAAAACUGCCAUUAAUUCAUCAAAAUUUUUUGUCUUCUCCAAUAAUAUCUCGAUAUGAGAAAAUAAUAUAAAAACAUAUCUAUCAAUACCCAAGCUAAGAGGAAAGAUAAAACUUAGUAUUACAAUGACUAUAAUAUUUUGGUUAAAUCAGCACUAAUAACAGGUUGUGUUAAAUAAAUAAAAAUUUAAUAUUGAAUUCUCCUAUAUCACUUUUAAACUUUAACUUUAUCUAUAAAGAAUUAAUAUAUCUCAGCUUGCAAAUAAACCAUGGAACAUUCAAAAGGAAGCAUGAUGAGCUAUUAAGCCGAUUUACUUUUGCUUUUUGGACAGGCCACCCUCUAGAGUCCUCUUUCAUAUCAACCGUUAAGAUUGUAAUCUUUACAAAGCUACAGCUUGAUUGCAAUAAUUAUCAAAACUCAAUGGCUAUAUAAACACAUUUUUUAAAUAAAUUAAAAAAUAAAAAAAGUGAAAAACAUCUUACUCUACUCAACAACCAAACCAUUGUUUUUCAUAAUUUCUCCAAUUAUGAUGACUGUUGCAAUAACUGCAUAUAUGACAUGAUAAAUAAAAAGAAUAAUUAACAGUAUUUCUCAAAAAGUAGCAUACAUAAUUGAUUUAGGUUUCAUCUAUGAAUAAUUAAGUCCAAAAAUAAAUUCUAAGCAGCACCACCAGAAAAAUUAAGUCACAAACACUUUAUACUUGAGAAAAACAAAGUUGAGAAAAGCUUUAAAGCAAAGAUAUUUUGGAUAAAAACUGGAGGCAACUGGAAACCAAGCAAUUGUAAAAACUUCUGUGCAUUUAACUGAAAAUCAAGAUCAAUGGCAACAAUGAAAGUUUAUGAUAAUGAUACCAACCUUCAUUACUUAAACAUAAAGAAUUUCUAACAUGUAACAAAUUAGGAGCUUGUAUAACAAUAAAGUAAAAAUAUAUGAUUAGAACAACAAAAAACAUUUCAUGUUAGUACUCUUAUAAUUCGAUGAUGCUAAUGAAAAAAAAAAGAUACAUUAACAGCAAUGAUCAUUUGGAUUGAAAUAAAAUAUUAAACAAACUAAAUUGUUCAAUUUAAGGAAAAAAAAAAAAGAAAACCAAAGAGCCAGAAAAGGUUUUUAAAAAGACACUAAUUUAAGGCAAUAUGAAAAUUAAGAGAAAAAAAUGGAAAAUUUCCCUUAAUAUCCUAACAUUCCCCAAUAAACAAUAUAUAUAAAAACCAUUUUGAAUCCCAAAAAUAAAGUCCUAUACAAAUCCAAUAUCAAUCACGUAUUCAUGUCUUUACAAUAAAUUCAUCCCAAAGAAUAUAAUCCAAGGUACUAUCAAAUGUCAAGAACAAACCCAAAUUAAAGGCACUAAAUAAUAUCUUCUUGAUUGAACAACUCAUUGAAGCAUUAAAUCUUGUAAUCAAUAUAAUAUAGGAUGAUAUAUGCAAGGAUGAGUUAUGAGGUGCUGAGAGAUUUCCUGUUUGUUUAAUGGUACAAUGAACUUCAUUUUCUAUUUUAUUCUAGCACAGUGUAGAGGAAAUUACGUGAGAUAUAGGUAGGCAGAAAGUACAGACUGCUUGAUUGAAAUAUAAAGCCUUUAGUCUAUGAGAAAUUACAGAUUCAGUAGAAUCAUGUUCUUUGAAGUUUGAACAAAGGGUUUGCCAAACAUGUCUCAUAUCAACAACCCUCAUUCAUCUAAAAUCAGUAAUAUAUGCUUCAAAUUUCACUUUUCCAAUCUCCAACCAGUAAUUGCAAAUAUGAAUAAUCAUCAUGAAAAUGGUGAGUAAGUAACCGCAGGUAGAAAAUUAACGCAUGAAAGAAGCAAAGCAUAAACAAAAUUAGAUGAAUAAUCUCAAGGAAGCAUAAAUUUAACAUAAAUUUCAAUUUAAAUAGAAAAUUUCAAUUUGUAUUACUUACUCAUCAAAGCAUUUGAAAUCCUCAUCCUUGAAGGGAACUAUUCUAGCCAUUUCACAUUCUGAUACCUGUGAAGUAAAGUGAAGGGAUUUGGCAUCUUAAUCAGAAAGAAUAACAAUUUCCAUUUGAAUUUUAGUGAUGAAAUAUAGUAUUAGAACUAUGGUGGACUCACGAGUUCAUUAAUGUUUCAAAUUUCAACUCCUCCAUAACCCACCAACAUAAUUCAAAAUGCAUGAAAAAGAAACCCAUAAAACAAAUCAUCAAAAGAAUUAGUCAACAUUAUUAAAUGAACAUAAAACAUUGAUAGAAACUGUUUCAAUGCAAUUCAAGUUACCUUUCUAACAAUUAUCAGCUUUGGAUUUAAUACUGUCAGACUGCCAGGUGGAAGUCUGGGAACACCAAUAACAAAUUGGCAGAAGGCUCGCUGCUACUCUGGUGUAAAUUCCCCCAAUAAUUUCAAGUAACUAUAAAAUCAUAAAACCAACUUAAUUAUGGAUCAAAUAUAGAUUUCAAAAUACCCAAAUGAGAGUCUUAUGAAAGAAACAUACAUUUAAGAUUUCAGAGGUCUUUGCAGUAUAUCCAUUAUCAAACUUUAUGUGAUCAGCUAGUGUCUCAGCUUGCAUUAUUAGAAGUUAUAUUGUUAAAAUCGAAGUGGAUAACCGGUUCUAAUCAAAGAAGUUAGCAAUAUUAUCACACAAUCCAAGUGUCAAAUUACCUCCCACAACUAUUUGCAACCACACAUCAAGUAGUCCAACUCUUGGGGAGUAAAUAUUUGUAAUGAUGCGAUAUCAAAAACCUACUUGCCAUAUAACAAAUAUAUUAACAUUGCAAUGAAUCCUAAAAAUAGCUCCUUAAUUCAAGUAAGUAAAAAGAAAUCCACGAUGAACAUCAACUUGUGAUUAGUCAAGAAAAAUCAUAAUAAAGAAAGCAACUUGGCCUGAUUGAAUCCAGCCUUAAAUGCCCCUAUUUGCAACAUAAUUCCAGCCUCGACAGUUACUCGUAUAUAAUUACUUCCCCCAUUCCUUCUCCGAUUAUACUUUCUUUAGCGCUAGGCUUAGGGUUUAUUUUUCAGAAGUGCUCUCAAUUUCGAUCGUAUUUCUGGUACGUACUUUCCUAUUUUUUGAGCUAGGGUUUUGCUUCUCUAUCUUUUGUCCUUUUCUUUUUUAAAAAGAUUAUCUUGAUUCUUAGUUAUAUUUCACAACUCCCAUUGAUCUUUGCGUGUUUAUUUGUAAUCUGUAAUCUCAGUUUCGCGGUUCUUCUUUCUUUUGAAAUCGUAAUCAACUAUAGGUUUUUCCUUUUUCAUUUAACCUUGUGAGCCACGGCGUUUAAUGUGACAUUGUUUAGAAAUUUUGCUUUUCGCAAUUUUUUUUUGCUCCCUCUGAUUUUGUUGUUAGCGUUUUCGUCAAUGUUUGGAUGUUCAUGUUAUAUUAUUUUUUAAUUUAUCCAUAUAGAUUUUAUUUGUGUCUGAAUUUUUGUUUGCCCAUUUCAUGCUAAGGUUUUGUUAAUUUUUGUGGUUUGAUUGUUUGGUAUUCGACGUUAUGAAUUUUUUUGUUAUAUGCUUUUACAGAUUUUAAUUUUAAGAAACCUUAGCUCCUAUUUACACAAUGGAGCGCACGACUAUUGAAUUGGAUCAGGGAUGGGAUUAUAUGCAGAAGGGGAUCACAAAGCUGAAGAGGAUUUUGGAAGGAUUGCCAGAACCUCCAUUUAGCUCAGAAGAAUAUAUGAUGCUUUACACGUAUCACUAAUUACUUAUUUUCAGUUUUGUUGAUUCUUUUUGAGCCACGGACUUAUUAUUUAUAAUCAUCUGGUAUAUUUUAUCCUCAUCAUCUUUCCUUAAUUGGAACCACUACAGGACUAUCUUCAACAUGUGUACUCAAAAGCCACCUCAUGAUUAUUCUCAGCAGCUUUAUGAGAAGUGCCGAGAGGCAUUUGAUGAAUAUAUUACAUCGAUGGUAAGGAAUUUAGAGUCUUGUCUGCCUUCACUUGGUUGCUGAGUACUGACUAGUCUGUGUAGAUAGAUAGUGAUUUAUAUAAAACUCAGUUUAUUAUGGAGGCAUUGUUUUACUGCUAUGAUUUCAAGGAUGUUAAUGUAAUUAGUCCUCUCUUGGGGAAUUAUUGCUGAAAUCCUCCCUUUUUUUUUUUUUUUCCUUCUUUGCAUGACAAAGGGAUUUGACCAACAUCUUUUAGAAUGCAUAUUCCAUGGAGUGAAAGCAAUGCUAUAUUUCAUUUACUUUGUUUUAGCUUCUAUAUUCCAAGAGCUUUGGUUGCAUUUGUUUGAUGUUUUCUAUAUUAUAUUGUUUUUUAAAGAUUGUAAUAACUCAUUUGCUUUGUUGAUUUUUUAAGCUCCAUGGUUUUAUUGUUUGAUACUUUUGCAAAUUCUUCUUUUACUAGCUUUCUUCUCAGUAGGAACCCUUGAAAGUUUUUUAUCCAUCCAUCUACUUUGUGUGGUAAAUAUGCUUUUUGCUCAUAUUUCCUCCUUUUUAAAAUAGGUAUUACCAUCUUUAAAAGAGAAGCAUGAACUGAGGGAGCUUGUUGAAAGAUGGGCAAACCAUAAAGUGAUGGUCAGGUGGCUAUCACGCUUCUUCCAUUACCUAGAUCGCUAUUUCAUUGCCCGCAGAUCACUUCCUGCACUUAAUGAAGUUGGCCUGACCUGCUUCCGUAAUCUGGUUUGUUAUUAGUUCUUCUAAUGACACAUUUAUCCAAUACUAAUUAUGGUGUAAUGAGUUGGAUUUUGAGAAUUGUGCUGCCCAUUAUUUCAAAUAUGCUCUUAACUAAUUGUAUACUAUCUAUUUUACUAAUCUCAGGUAUAUCAAGAAGUGCAUGACAAAGUCAGAGAUGCUGUAAUUGUCCUUGUAAGUUUCCAUCAUUAUGUCAUGGUUAAUUGUAUUUUUAGGUUGCAUUUUGAAUAAAAACUAAAGAGUAACAGUUACUUCAUAUCAGAUUGAUAAAGAACGUGAGGGAGAGCAGAUAGACCGAGCAUUAUUGAAGAAUGUGUUAGAUAUUUUUGUUGAGAUUGGCAUGGGCCAAAUGGUUCGUUAUGAAGAUGAUUUUGAAGCAGCUAUGCUUGAGGAUACUGGUGCCUACUACUCACGGAAGGCAUCAAGCUGGAUUGAGGAUGAUUCUUGUCUAGAUUACAUGUUGAAGGCAAGUACUUUGCUGUUCCUGCAUUUAUAUUUUUAUAGGUUAUAAGUUUUUCACCUUGAUUAACCCGGAUGGUUCUAAUUGUUUUUAUUUUAAUGAUAAUUGCAGUCUGAAGAAUGCUUGAAGAAGGAAAGGGACAGAGUGUCUCAUUACCUGCAUUCAAGCAGUGAGACAAAAUUGUCAGAGGUCAGUUGAAUGGUUGGAAAGUUAUAGUUUAAUGAAGAGCUUUUUCUGUGAGCUUUAGCUUGGCUUGAAGGUGCACUUUUUUUUCUUCGGAGAGAAAAUCUGUUUAAUUUUCUUCUAUAAGAGGUGACUUAAAUGAAUAGUGUUUGAUGUGUGAAACGUUGUCACUAAGAUAUUACAAUAGAAGUUGUGUGAAUUCUUUUCAAGUGGAAAGAUCUGGUUGCUUUUAUCUAUUUUCUUCCAGCUACCUAGAAAUGGAGAUUGCAUGUUUUUGAGUUAUCCAAUGACAUGGAAUAAUAUAGGCAUGUGAUAAGAAUAAACAGAGACUUCCUAUUAAGACAGCUUUAUAAUUCCUAGAGCACUCUACUUAUAGCUGUUUGUUCUUUAUCUAGAAAGUGCAACAUGAGUUGUUGGUCGUGUACGCAAAUCGGCUACUUGAAAAGGAGCAUUCAGGAUGUAGGGCCUUGCUUAGAGAUUACAAGGUAUCAUCCAACCUUGUUUCUUUGCUAGCAAUGCUUACUCUUCUGGCUGUUUGCUUUGGAAAAUAUAUAAAUCAGAUAGUUAUUUGGCUUUGUUUACACUCUGUAGCUGGAGGAUCUCUCUAGGAUGUACAGGCUUUAUUGUAAAAUGCCUCGAGGCUUGGAUCCUGUUGCUAAUAUAUUCAAGCAGGUCUGAAUAUCCUGUUUAUUCUGCAAGCUAAAUGCCCAUCUUUCUCAUGUUACUUUAUGAUUUUACUGACUCUUUGUGAGUAAUUACUUUUUGCAGCAUGUUACAGCUGAGGUUACAGCCUUGGUUCAACAGGCAGAAGAUGCUGCAAGUAACCAGGUUAAUUGCUGGAUACAUUUAUUGAUUUCCUUCUAUACUAGAAGAUAAAUCAUGAAGAUUUUUUCUGGAUUGUAAUUGUGUGCUUGUGAGGGGAUGAAAUCCUUUUCUUUUAGACUAAUAAAAUGGGUACAAGAGUAGUAUUUAAACAUAUCAGUGUGGCAUGUUGAUUUUUAUCUUCAUUUGUUAUUGUGGUUGUGCAGUUCUUGUAACUGUUAAGUUUGAUUUGCCUUUGACAUGCCAAUAUUCCCAUUUUAUUUCUCUUUAGGAAAAAGAGAGUUAAUUCCAACUACUACAGACUAAAAUUUUCCCACAAUUGAUGGAAAAAUAGAUGAUCAUAUUCAUUUUUGUUUUGAAUAAUCACCUGUCUGGUUCUAAGUGCUGAUAUUCACUCAUUUCCACUGGCCUCAAAUGCUCCUGGUGUGCAGGAACUGGUAAAUAUCCCAACUUUUACAGCUAUGGAUUCUUUUGAAAUCUGUAAAAAUGUUGAAAAUUGUUACUUCUGUCAUUGUUAGGUCCUUAUCAGGAAAAUUAUUGAGCUGCACGAUAAGUACAUGGAGUAUGUGACUGACUGCUUUAAAAACCAUACUCUGUUCCACAAGGUUCGUGUUGGAACACCUAAAUUUGUAAUAUGGAUCUGGUUCAGUCAUGUUAUCUAAAAUAUGCUUCGUUGAAAUGUUCAAUAGGCAUUGAAAGAGGCUUUUGAGGUAUUUUGCAACAAAACUGUUUCUGGCAGCUCAAGUGCUGGGCUUUUGGCAACUUUCUGUGAUAAUAUCCUGAAGAAGGGUGGAAGUGAGAAAUUAAGUGAUGAAGCCAUUGAAGAAACACUUGAGAAGGUAGCUUUAUCCACCAUUUUUAUACUGAAUUUAUGGUGAUCUGAAAUUGAUUCUGAACUAUCUGUUUGGUUUCUGCAGGCAGUUAAGCUGCUUGCCUAUAUUAGUGACAAAGACCUCUUUGCUGAAGAAUUCUACAUGUGAGGUUUUUUUUUGUCAAUUAGUUUCAUAUCUGCUUGUUUUUAAAAAAGAAAAAAAAAAAAAACCCUUUAAAGGCAUGAGUUUGCAUGGUACAUUUUGAUCCUAACUUUAUGGUGUGCAAAAUCAUUGACAGGAAGAAACUCGCUAGGCGACUGCUUUUUGACCACAGUGCUAAUGAUGAUCAUGAAAGGAGUAUUCUGACUAAUCUAAAGCAGCAAUGCGGUGGACAGUUCACCUCGAAGAUUGAGGGCAUGGUGAGUUGGCCUGAGUUUUGCUUGGUUUAUUUUUCUGCAUUAAUUAUGGUUUAAAUUGUGAUGAAACUUGUCUUCUACCUUCAUGACAGGGGACAGAUCUGACAUUGGCAAGGGAAAACCAGGCCAGCUUUGAGGACUAUCUUAGAAAUAACCCAGCUGCACAUCCUGGGAUCGAUUUAACAGUUACUGUUCUUACCCCAGGAUUCUGGCCAAGUUAUAAAUCAUUUGAUCUCAAUCUCCCUGCUGAGAUGGUAAUGACUGCUAACAUUUUAUUGUAUGAUGACAGAAUUAGAGCUCUUACUUCAGCAUGUCUUCAGAAAUUUUAUUUGUUUCAGGUCAAGUGUGUGGAAGUUUUCAAAGGAUUUUAUGAAACAAAAACAAAACAUAGAAAGCUUACAUGGAUAUACUCUCUGGGAACUUGCCACAUUAAUGGCAAGUUUGAGCAGAAAACUAUCUGAGUUGAUUGUUUCAACUUAUCAGGUAAACCGACUCUGUAAACUGUGUGCGCUUUUUAAAUUAAAAAAUUGUGAUUUGGGUUGGAUUUAUGUCUUUGUCUUGCUGGGUUGCGGUGUUGAACUUUGAUUGUGGAAUCUAAUUUCCGGUUGCCUAUGUAAACAGGCUGCUGUCCUCCUCCUGUUUAAUGCUUCUGAUCGGCUGAGCUAUUCAGAGAUCAUGGCUCAGUUGAACUUGGCCCAUGAUGACUUGGUCAGGUUACUACAGUCGCUGGCAUGUGCCAAGUAUAAGCUUCUAAGUAAAGAGCCAAACACAGAAACCAUCUCCCAGAGUGAUUACUUUGAGUUCAACUCUAAGUUUACUGACAAGUUGAGGAGGAUUAAGGUCUGGGAUAGUUUUGCAACUCUCUUUUAUGUUAUUAUUGCUUUUGGUAUUUAUUUGAAUGAGAAGUUCUACCUUUGGAAAUAACCUUGUAAACUAUCCUAAGUAGGUUCCUCUCCCUCCAGUGGAUGAAAGGAAGAAAGUUGUUGAAGAUGUUGAUAAAGAUCGGCGUUAUGCUAUUGACGCUGCAAUUGUGCGCAUAAUGAAGAGUAGGAAAGUUUUGGGCCACCAACAAUUAGUUUCAGAGUGUGUUGAGCAGUUGAGUCGCAUGUUCAAGGUAUUAAUAUACGCUAACCCUUUAUCUGGCAGUUUGUGAGAGAAACAUUAGAUGUAUAGAUGGGGAUAUCAGGUUGCCUUAACUGACAGAAAACCACACACAGGCACAUGCAAGCCAAACAUACACUGUAUGAAAAUAAUCUUUUAAAGAAUGAAAAGCUAGAGGACAAAAUGAUCUAUGAGAUUUGUGUAGAAAGGUGGAAAAAUGAAUGGUUCUCUUAUCCAAAGGAAGUUUGUUUUUGAGAAUGAUGCAUUUAAAUAAAAGAUGAGAGGUGAUAGAUUUUUAUUUUGAAUGAAAAGUGAUGAAAUGGAAGGAGUGGGGUUAUCAAAUUGGAUAAAAACAUCGACUUUUUUAUAGGUGAUUAACGUGUUGUGUUUCUGUGAUCAAACACAUGCACGGAAACUGGAAAGUAAUAGGUGAUAGGUUGUUUAAUUACAUAACUUCUUAGUAGUUGGUACUAAUUACAUAGGAUUUGGUUGGGAUUUGCAGCCUGAUAUUAAAGCAUCAAGAAGCGGAUGGAGGAUUCAUCACACGAGACUAUCUGGAGAGAGACAAGGAUAAUCAAACUUGUUUAGGUACUUGGCCUAAUAGGUCCUUCCCAAUGGAACGUGGAAGUGGUAGUCAGAUGGAUUUACAAUGCUCCUCACUGAAAUCCACAUAUUUUUUUCUGGUACCUUGUGUAAAAGUUCAACAAGUUUUAAUUGUCUAUUGAAAUUUAAAUAGUGUUUCACUUUAAAUUUUAUCAGUAUGAAUAUUACAUGAGUAGUUAACUUUUUAAUUACGUUUAUUCAGUGUCUCACAUCUAUACAUAUUUUGAAAAAAAUUCUCAAUGAAAUUAUCAAAUUAUUGUCUUAUUAUUUGAUAAAAAAUUGACACAUGAUCAAUUAUUAUUAUGUUUUUAUAUCAUAAUUAUGAAAAUAUUUUUAUGUUAUAAUUAUUUUCUAUAAUAUCCUUAUUUCAUAUUUACGGGAAUAUUUGAUUUUUAAAUUAAUUGUUAUACUUUUAUAUCAUGAUUAUAAAAAUACUCAUAUACAAUAGUUAUUUAUUAUAAUAUCUGCAUUCUAUAAUUACAGAAAUAUUUCUUUGCUUAUUAUUGAAUUAUAAAAAUAUUUUUUUAUUAUUGAUAAAAAUUAUUAUAAUAUUUUUAUAUCAUAAUUAGAAAAUAUUUUUUCUCAUAAUUGAUUAAAAUUAUUAUAAUAAUGUUUUUAUCAUAAUUAUGAAAAUAUUUUUAUGAAUAUUUAAUAAGAAGUAGAUAUGUGAUUUUUUAUUGUAACAUAUAUUAAAAUAAUUCUUUUGAUAAUCAUAUCUAUAUAUAUUAUAUUACAAUAUACAUAAUUUUUAGAUAAAAUUUAUUGACAUGGAUGUUUGUAUGAUUUUUUUUUUACGCGUAAAAAAAUUUCUUAAAUUUCUUUCUUUAAGUAUACAUAAGAUAUUUAUUAAUUUUAAAUUAUUUAUUAAAAAUAUAUUUAAAAAGUUAUUAAAUUAUCUAAAAAUUUUAAAAUUUAAAUAAAAAUCAGUUUAAAUUCAAAUAAAAUUUUCUUAUCUCAUGUAUUACCUCAUCUCUCGUAACAUUCAACAAACCACUCAGAUGAACUUCCCAUUUAAAUGUAAGUUUUUUCAUUUUAAAUGGUCUUCCACUUUCUGUCAUGCUCCUGAGUAAUUUUAAAAAUGUUUUCAAUUCUCAGCUAAAUUAUCUUGGUUUUUAAUUUGUCAUCUCACAACUGCUUACUUCUCUCACGCCUCUUUACAUGGCACCUAAAGGACACCUACCAUCUACUUUCUUUUUUAGUCCUUGGAGUGACGUUCUGAGGUUGUUUGCAGGGAAGAAAAAAUGACUGAGACAAAAAGUUUAGCAGUGGUGCGCAGUAGGCAAAUGGGUUCUGGCAUAGCUCAGCUUGGUGCCAUGCAUGGUCUCUAUGUUUGGCUCCUUGAUACUGACCCUGUUGCACUUUCUAGAGCCUCCAAAGCUAUAUAUUUUUCCCUUCAAUGUUUUGUUUCCAAAGGUCAUCUGCCUCAAGUAAAAUUGGUUUUUUUUUUUUUUUCAUCUAAUUUGUUGAUUGUUUUAAGUUUGGUUUUAAUGUGAUUCGAAGUCUUGAAUCAGGAGAUUCUUUUAAGUUUAGCACUCGAUCUUCUGACAGUUUGUAGUUAUACCAUGUUUGUACAUGUUGAUGAAUUGAAUAAAUAGUUUUGUUAAAGGGAUUCUUUUUGAUGAAAAGAUGUUCUUUUUUUAAUGUCAAUAUGAUUGAAACUUGGAUUGGAUUUAAGUUAAACCAGGUUGGUUGGUCUUGGUUAGAGCUUAGAUCAAAGUUAAUAGUUUUAGUGCUGCUUUAGCCAAGAAUCUGGCUUGAGUGUUUGUUCCUAAGAUUCUACACUUAACAUACUUAAUUCAACAUUAAUUUUUUGCAGUUCAUUGAUAGUGAAAAUUUGAGAAAGUUGGUAGCUGAAGUAUUGGAUGGAAGGAUUGGGUGGUUGAACUUAUUGAUGAGAUGAUUGUUUAGGUGUCAACUAGGGCUCUUUCUCGAUAUUAUGUCAGUGUCCAAUUUGGGUUCUUGCGAAAAGUUUCACUGUAAAUUUUUGGAGGAAGAAGUUGUUAGAGGUUUAAUUGAACCAGUGCAUAAGGUAUGCUAAUAAAUACUUCUGGUGUGAUAUUGUACUAAAGCUUGUGAGAGAAGUAGGCGUUUGUGGAUAUUCCUAUUAAAGUGCUAUUAAAUUAACAAGUCAUGAAGCAUGCUAUAUUUUAUUUUUUUAGACAAAUGAAAUUUUUUUUUGUUUUUAUUUAACAUGUUUAUACUAUUUUUAUAUUAAAUGAAAAUUAGCCAGUAAAAAUAUAAAAAAUAGAAUAUAGUAAUUAUUAUUAUUAUGAUUAAAUUUUUUUAAUAUUUUAAUUCAAAAUUGAUAAUAAUUCAAUUUCUAUAAAUCAAAAAAUAUCUUUUAAAAUUUAUUAAAUUAUCUAAAACUUUAAAAUUUAAUCAAAAAUCAAUUUAAAUUUUAAUAAAAUUUAUUUUUUCUGUACAUCACCUCAUCUCAAUUUAAAACUAAUUUUAAAAUAAUUUAUCUUUUUCAAUUUAUGUGAAGUUAACAUGAAUAUUUAAAUUUAUCAACUUAAAUAAUUUAAUAUCUUUAAUAUUUUUUUAUAAAUAAUCAUUGUAUUAUCUUCAACUUUUAAAUAUAUUUUUAAAAAAUGUAAAAAAAUAUAUAAAUACCAAAAUAAUUUCAAGAAAGUUUAUCCUAUACAUUAUUUUAUCUCAAUUUAAAACUAAUUUUAAAAUAAUUUAUCUUUUUAAUUUAUCUGUAGUUGACAUGAAUAUUUAAAUUUAUCACGACCUUUAAAAAUAUUAUUUAAUAUCUUUAAUACUUUUUAUAAAUAAUACUUACAUUAUCUUCAGCUUUUAAAUAUAUAUCACAAAGGAAAUGUGAAAAAAAUAUAUAUAAAUACCAAAACAACAUUAGGAAAGUUUCUCAUGUACGUCAAGUUUCUUGUACAUCAUAUCAUUUCAAUUUAAAACUAAUUUUAAAGUAAUUUAUUUUUUCUAAUUUAUCUGUUAGCUUUUAAAUAUAUUUCACAAAUGAAAUGUGGAAACAACUUUAGGAAAGUUCUCAUUGAUGGUAGUUCUUAGUUACAUAGCUUUUCUAAUAUCCCAUUGAGUUAAACGUAUUUUUUCCUACUAUUAAUUUACUCUCUCUUUUUAUUAGUCUAUUUUCACUAUAGGAACUAACAUGUUUUUUCUAAUAAUAUGUACUAUUUUACUAAACAUACUAUUUACUUUAUCAUGUAUGAUUUUCUUUUUUCAAAUCGAUCGUAAUUUUUUUAAAAAACUACAAAACACAUAUUUUUAUAUUUUUACCUGUAUUGUCUGCAAACCUUUUAUUUUCUUACGGAUUCUUCACUCAAUCACGUAAUAUAUUUUAUCUUUCAAAUGAUUAUUUAUUCAAUAUUUCUCAUUCGUAUAAAAUGAAAAAUGAUGUUCUGAUUAAUUGAUAUAAUAGAGUUAUGUAUCCUAAACAUGUAACAUAAUUUCAAAUCAAGAGAUUAUUUUUCAUAAAAAAUUUUUUUUUAAAAAUUUCAGGAAUAGUCUCAUCAAUAGUAUUAAUUUUAAGUUCAUUUAUAUUUUAGCUUAAAAAAAUCUCAGAACCAUAAAAUAUUUCACCAAAAUUCCUGAAAAAGAAUGUAUAAAUCUUAUGAUAACUUUGUAAUUAUGGAACAUAUGAUGUUUUAUAGCCGUUAGCAAAAUUUAAAAAGAAAAUAUUAUUUUUAUUAUGAUUUGAUAUUUUAAUUAUAUUAUUUAUAUGUUACAAAUACUUUGAAAAUGUAAAUAAUUCAAUAAUAUCAAUUUAUAUUUUUAUUUAAAUUUAAAUAAAAUAAAAAUAAUCGAUGCAUCGCAUAAGGGAGCAAACUAGUUAUUAUAAUAAUAAUUUAUUUAUUUGAUAUAAUGUUGACACGUGUCUAAAUUUAUUAAAAUAUUUUUUUAUUAUAAUUGUGAAAAUAUUUUUUUUAUAAUUAGUUAAAAUUAUUAUAAUAUUUUUAUAACAAUUACAAAAAUACCCCUUCUAAUAUAAUUGGUUAAAAUUUGAUGUUCGGAAUUUUGUUUAAAAUUUACUAUAAUAUCUUUAUAUUAAAUAACAUAAAUUAAAAUAAUUUCCAUAGAAAUUAAUAUCAUACAAUUUUAUUUAUUUGAUAUAAUUGACAUGUAUCCAAAAUUAUUAUAAUGAUGCCGUUCUACCAUAAUUACAGAAAUAUCUCUCUUCUCAUAAUCAAUCAAAAUUAUUAUAAUGUCUUCCUAUCAUAAUUACAAAAUGCUCUUCCUAUUAUAAUUGACCAAAUUUAUUAUUAUCUCUCAUCCGAUACUUAUGAAAAAACCUCUUUUAUUAUAUUUAGUUAAAAUUACUAUAAUGCUUCUUAAACCAUACUUACAUAAAUGAUAUUAUAAGUGGUUUACAAGGAGUUGACAUGUGAUAUUUUGUUUCAAAAUUAUUAUAAUAAUUUUUAUUAAAUCACAUAUUAAAUUUUAAUAUAAUAUAAAAUUAACCAUAUUAAAUUACUAAAGUACCUUACCAUUACUUUAUUAAAUUUAACGUGUAAUAUUUUAUUAAAAAUAAUUAAAACUAAAUUGUCAAAUGAGUUAGAUAAUUAUAAUUUUUAUUAAAAUAAAAAAUUAAAUAAUUUAUAUUUUAAAAUAAAAAUAUUUAAUUCCCAACAUAGUGGGUACCACACCCUAAUGAAACAAGAAAAAUAUCCUCUUAUAUUGGUUGUUGGGCCAUGAGAUUGAACAUCGCUUUGAAAUUGAAGAAAGGUUUUUUAUUGCAUUGUGCAAAGUCUGCAUUUAACUUUAUAGAAAGAUUAUCGCAUGAAAACUAGUAGGAGUAAAAGCAGUUCAUCUUUUAUUCAAUGUAAAACCAUCUAUAUAUUUAUGGCAACUAUUAUCUUGUGUUGGUUUGGUGUUUCUUUCACUUUAAGCUUAAGAUAAUUUAUUUCCCAUUCCAAAAAUCUUUUAAUCUGAUUCAUAUAAUUUUCAAUGUCACUUUAUCUUAAUUCCUAUAUAAAAAAAAGCCAAAUAUAAAAGUAUAAUCAUCAUAUUUAAUUAAUAUGACAUGGUACUUUCACAUGAUUGUUCAAUUAGUAUAUCGUCAUCCAUAAAAUAUAAAAAAUACAGAUCAAACAUAUAUAUAUUUUAACUUUACAGCCCUUCUCUGCUCGUCUUCCUUUGCCUGUUAAUUAAGUAUAAAUCUUAUUCAAAGAAGUCCAUUCAACACGUGUUACAUUAAUCAGGUAGGAUUUCUCUUUGCCCAUGCUUAUUUUCAUAUAUUGAUAGGUCAUGCAUUAAAUCCCAUGGGUGAUGACACUUAAAUGGAUAUUGUUAUUGAUUAUUUGAAUGUUGAUUGAAAAUUUUUUUUUUUAAAUGUGAAUGAUAAAUAUAAAAUUUUAAGGUCACGGAUGAAAAUUAUUAAUAAUAUAAAAUUCAAUGCUAGUAUGGCAGAAGACCUCUAUGAUUAAUUUUUAUCCAUAUGGCUGAUUUAAGUAUGGACAAUUAAGACUGCAAAAGCAUGGCAAUAAAACAUACAGAAAUGCAAUAAUGGUAAGACCUUCGACAUCAAUUCAAGGAAAAAAAAAAAAAGAAAAGCGAAGCAUAAGCUUUCAGGUGAUCUUUCUAUUUUUUUCCCCCUCUUUUUAUUGUCUUGUUAUUAUAUUUUUUUUGUGCAAUUUGAGUAGGAUUUGUUUUUAUACUUGUGUUUUGAAUUAAUCCUAUAGAGCAAAUUGCCCUUAUGUUCUGUUCUAUGCAUUUUGAACUUCAUUUGCGUCUUCCUUUGAAUUAUUAUAUUAAUCUUAUACUAUCUUUGAGUUUUCUCACUAAUGGAUGGAUAUUCUUGGAGUUUUUUUUUUUUUGUUAACUUCUAUGGAACUGAUUUUGAACUCUGAUUAUUUAGGUGGGAAAUUUUGUCUACUUCUUUGGAGAGGGCUAAAGAAUAACUUCAGUUUCACAAUUCAACUUUGAUGUGAAGUAUCACUGUAAGUUGAUGAAACCAUGGCUGUUGAAGAAUGUCAAGACAAGUUACUUCUAUAUGUUCUAUCUUAAUGCUUACGUCAGCAACAUUUUAGAUGUUAUGUCAUCUUAGUUUACAUAUAAUUGUUUAAUUAUUCACAUCAUCAUAACAUAUAUGUAUAAUUAUAGCAUAUUUAUUUGGUAUUUUAUCUACUCUCUUCUCUCUUUUCGUGUAUUUUUUUUUGAAGUAUUGAAGCAUGUCUAAAAAUAUUAUUUUUGAUAUCUUAAUAUUUUUAUGAUAAAUUUGAUACACUUUUUGUUUUAAUUUCUAACAAACUCUUCGGUGAUCAUACUAAUGAUAUAUUAAUAUAUAUAUAUAUAUCUCCUAUUAAGAAAUUUGAAGUGUCUUAAAGUAAUUAAUUAUAUGAUUUGCCUUAUUCGUGUGACCAUAGUUUCAUUGCUUUACCUUAUCUUAGUAAUGGUCUAAUGCCUCUAAUUAUGGUUGCGUGUGUCAAUCUUUUCGACAUCUAUGGCAGCUCUUUGACAAUGAGUUCAUACUACACAAAAUAGCUGAACAUAACUCAAAACUUAUGCCAGCCUAUUUUGCAAAUGUGUUAAGGCUAUAAAUAAACAAUAGCCAUUCUCUUAUAUUUCUUUUUCAACGUAUUUUCUCUUCGUUUUCUUUGAUUUCUGGUUGUUAGUUUAGAAACGAUGAGUUGAAUACUAUAACUUCCUCUUUCCUAAAUAUGACUUCAAAAUGAUGAAGGUUCUAUUCUAGGUUGCUGAUAAAAGAAAGGAACAUAGUUCAGUAGGGAGUUGCACAACAACAAUCGACCAAAUUUGGAAGGGCAAAGUUACCGAGAUACAUACCCAAAGCGGCUCCAAUUUUAUUGAAGGCUUGACUAAAAUGUCAUUGCUAUGCCUAUGUACAUACAGAGAAGAAGAGCAAGAGUUAGUUUAGAAAUCCCAUUUUAUCUAGGAUCAUCUGAAAUAAUUUCAAAUUUGAAUACUCAGUUUCGGAUUUUUAUUCUCUAAUUAAAGUGAUCUUAAUUUGACCCAUUUAAGUUUGAAUUUACCGUUUGGGUGUUAGGUUAAUCCAUUCACUUUCGGAAUUUUAAAGUUUUAGGCUUGAUUUGGAUUUAAAACCCGAACCAAGUGUUUGGCCUGCUUUUUCUUUCACAAUUUAUAGUUUUCAUUAUUUGUAUUUGUAUUUGUUUAUUUUAUUUCAUUAAUUUUUUUAAAUAAACCGGGUAAGUGAACAUGAUAAGUAAUCUGAUUUUUGAAAAAUCUGGAUUUGAUCAGACUUGUGUUGAAGAUGAAAUUUCAAUGAUAAAGAUUAAAAAAGAUGAUGGAAGCAAAUCCUUUUUAACUGGGAAGUUGUUAUGAUUUUGAACCCUAUAACAAUCGAAACAAAUCUCUGUAUAAACUGAGCCAACCAGCAAACAAAAGGGAUAGUUCAUGACGAGGAAACCCAUCAUCCUAGUUCUCAAUCCUAGAAAACCAACUUCCAGAAAAGAAAACUCCAAGCAUCAACACAUACAAAAUUACCAUAGCCCGAAGCUCACCAAAGAUGCCCCUAGCCAUUAACAACUACAAUUCCACUACUGCCAUCCACCAAUUAUUGUAGCCUAUAACAAAGAACUUCCGAGAGUUCAUUCUCCACCAUCAAGAAAAGCCACUAUUCGUCAGCCCAAUACAUAAUUACUAGCAAAGCUACACACUAUAGGAAUCCAGAAUCGAAAGAUCCACACCCACCAACCCAGCAAUUUCAUCAACACAGGCAUCCAAAAUCAGACAAAAAAAUCCAAAAAAGAAGGACAAGCACAAUCAGAGAUCCAGCCUCUAUGACAAACCACAAUUAGACUUCAAAACAAAGAAAAUUCAGGAAACCAUUCCCUACCACAACAACCAUCCAUUGCCGAGACGAGGUCCUACCACCACCUUCGAUUUCUCGUCGAACAAUCGCCCAUUCUCAGUUAAGCACACCAACAUUAGUCCAAGGAAAAAAUCAUAAUCAGAGAAAAAAAAUCAGAAACAUAAAACAAAAAAAAAGACAAAAGAUAGAGAUGUGACAUUCUCUCUCUUCGAUUUUUGGUCCAAGACGUUUCAAAGAGAUUUGUGUCUCCAAAUUCAGUGAGGACGAAGAUCCGAAGAAGAGGAAAAGCAUACCUCAAGCUGGCUACCAUCAGAACAACAAGGAAGGGUGGAGCCGUAAAAUAAACUUUCAGAUCUGUGGCAUUUGAGGAGCAUUUUCGAAAAAUCCAAGCUCAUUUUCCGAGACGAAAAGGUCGAGAGGAAAUGUUGGGGAAGUUUUGGGCUCAAAUUGACUCCGGCCAGUGGCGAUGUGCAGCGGCCAACAUCGGCAUAAAGACUAGAGCGGUGGCCAGGAAUCGUGGAUGGAGAGAAGCAGAAAAAUUGAAUUCCAAUAGAGAGAAAAACAAAAGAAG
RNAcentral lists this long non-coding RNA (34786 nucleotides) under Durio zibethinus. Lineage: Eukaryota; Viridiplantae; Streptophyta; Magnoliopsida; Malvales; Malvaceae. The record is from RNAcentral.